RNAcentral lists this ribosomal RNA (253 nucleotides) under uncultured bacterium. RNAcentral's name for it is "partial 16S ribosomal RNA". It matches the Rfam family "Bacterial small subunit ribosomal RNA", at positions 524 to 776 of the family's 1533-position model. The record is from RNAcentral.
UACGUAGGUGACAAGCGUUGUCCGGAUUUACUGGGCGUAAAGAGCGCGCAGGCGGUCGAUCAAGUCGAGUGUGAAAGCCCCCGGCUCAACUGGGGAGGGUCAUUCGAUACUGAUCGACUCGAAGGCAGGAGAGGGUAGUGGAAUUCCCGGUGUAGUGGUGAAAUGCGUAGAUAUCGGGAGGAACACCAGUGGCGAAGGCGACUACCUGGCCUGCUCUUGACGCUGAGGCGCGAAAGCUAGGGGAGCGAACAGG